AUGGCUUGGAAGCAGAUGCUCGUCGUCGCCAUCGCCGUGGCCGCCCUCUGCGUCGCCUUCCUUCCGGGGCUCGCCGUCGCCAUGGAACACGUGGUCGGCGACGACAAGGGCUGGGCCCUCGAUUUCAACUACACGGCGUGGGCUGAGGGCAAUCAGUUUGUGGUCGGCGACACGCUAGUGUUCGAGUACGGGACCGCCAGCCACGACCUGGUGGAGGUGGGCGGGCCGGAUUUCCUCGCUUGCAACCAGCCGGACAACGCCGCCGUCUGGACCUCCGGUUUGGACCGGGUCCCGCUCGACAAGGCCGGACCACGGUGGUUCUUCUGCGGCACGGACCAGCACUGCGAGAGGGGGAUGAAGCUCAAGAUCACAGUCCUCGAGACCGCCCCGCCGGCUCCCCAACCCAAGCCCCCGUUGGUUGCUCCACCGCCGUCCAGCCCCGCUGGCAAGCUGGAGGCGGGCUUCGGGGAGGCGGCUGCCGUGGUCACCGCGCUCGCCGUGGCCAUGCUCGUGCUCUAG
This 519-nucleotide ribosomal RNA is filed under the name Triticum aestivum (bread wheat). RNAcentral's name for it is "partial small subunit ribosomal RNA". Lineage: Eukaryota; Viridiplantae; Streptophyta; Magnoliopsida; Poales; Poaceae. The record is from RNAcentral.